Molecule: ribosomal RNA, 273 nt
Filed under: uncultured bacterium
Lineage: Bacteria
Description: partial 16S ribosomal RNA
Rfam family: Bacterial small subunit ribosomal RNA
Source: RNAcentral
CUAAGUUUGAUGGCGACCGGCGCACGGGUGAGUAACACGUAUCCAACCUGCCGAUGACUCGGGGAUAGCCUUUCGAAAGAAAGAUUAAUACCCGAUGGCAUAGUUCUUCCGCAUGGUGGAACUAUUAAAGAAUUUCGGUCAUCGAUGGGGAUGCGUUCCAUUAGGUUGUUGGCGGGGUAACGGCCCACCAAGCCUUCGAUGGAUAGGGGUUCUGAGAGGAAGGUCCCCCACAUUGGACUGAGACACGGCCAAACUCCUACGGGAGGCAGCAUG